This 403-nucleotide ribosomal RNA is filed under the name Verrucomicrobiota bacterium. RNAcentral describes it as "Verrucomicrobia bacterium partial 16S ribosomal RNA". It matches the Rfam family "Bacterial small subunit ribosomal RNA", at positions 355 to 776 of the family's 1533-position model. Lineage: Bacteria; Pseudomonadati; Verrucomicrobiota. The record is from RNAcentral.
UGGGGAAUAUUGCACAAUGGGCGCAAGCCUGAUGCAGCAACGCCGCGUGAACGAUGAAGGUCUUCGGAUUGUAAAGUUCUGUUGUAGGGGAAGAUAAUGACGGUACCCUUUGAUGAAGCCCCGGCUAACUACGUGCCAGCAGCCUCGGUAAUACGUAGGGGGCUAGCGUGAUCCGGAUUUUCUGGGCGUAAAGGUUGCGGAGGUGGUCUUGCAAGUCGGUGGUUAAAGGCUACGGCUAAACCGUAGUUAGCAUCCGAAACUGGAAGACUUGAGUGUAGAAGAGGGAGGUGGAAUUCCAAGUGUAGCGGUGAAAUGCGUAGAUAUUGGGAGGAACACCAGUAGCGAAGGCGGCUUUCUGGACUGCAACUGACACUGAGGCACGAAAGCGUGGGUAGCAAACAGG